AGAGUUUGAUCAUGGCUCAGAGCGAACGCUGGCGGCAGGCCUAAAACAUGCAAGUCGAACGCCGUAGCAAUACGGAGUGGCAGACGGGUGAGUAACACGUGGGAACGUGCCCUUUGGUCCGGAACAACCCAGGGAAACUUGGGCUAAUACCGGAUAAGCCCUUACGGGGAAAGAUUUAUCGCCAAAGGAUCGGCCCGCGUCUGAUUAGCUAGUUGGUGAGGUAACGGCUCACCAAGGCUACGAUCAGUAGCUGGUCUGAGAGGAUGAUCAGCCACACUGGGACUGAGACACGGCCCAGACUCCUACGGGAGGCAGCAGUUAGGAAUCUUGGACAAUGGGCGCAAGCCUGAUCCAGCCAUGCCGCGUGAGUGAUGAAGGCCUUAGGGUUGUAAAGCUCUUUCAGCGGGGAAGAUAAUGACGGUACCCGCAGAAGAAGCCCCGGCUAACUUCGUGCCAGCAGCCGCGGUAAUACGAAGGGGGCUAGCGUUGCUCGGAAUCACUGGGCGUAAAGCGCACGUAGGCGGCUUUUUAAGUCAGGGGUGAAAUCCUGGAGCUCAACUCCAGAACUGCCUUUGAUACUGGGAAGCUCGAGUCCGGGAGAGGUGAGUGGAACUCCGAGUGUAGAGGUGAAAUUCGUAGAUAUUCGGAAGAACACCAGUGGCGAAGGCGGCUCACUGGCCCGGUACUGACGCUGAGGUGCGAAAGCGUGGGGAGCAAACAGGAUUAGAUACCCUUGUAGUCC
Molecule: ribosomal RNA, 742 nt
Filed under: uncultured bacterium
Lineage: Bacteria
Description: bacterial SSU rRNA
Rfam family: Bacterial small subunit ribosomal RNA
Source: RNAcentral